RNAcentral lists this ribosomal RNA (253 nucleotides) under uncultured bacterium. RNAcentral describes it as "partial 16S ribosomal RNA". It matches the Rfam family "Bacterial small subunit ribosomal RNA", at positions 524 to 776 of the family's 1533-position model. The record is from RNAcentral.
CACGUAAGGGGCAAGCGUUGUUCGGAAUUAUUGGGCGUAAAGGGUACGUAGGCGGUUUGGUAAGCCCGGCGUGAAAUCCUGCAGCUUAACUGUAGAGCUGCGCUGGGAACUGCGAAACUUGAGUCAUGGAAGGGGAGUUAGAAUUCCAGGUGUAGGGGUGAAAUCUGUAGAUAUCUGGAAGAAUACCGGUGGCGAAGGCGAACUCCUGGCCAAUGACUGACGCUGAGGUACGAAAGUGCGGGGAGCAAACAGG